Long non-coding RNA from Brassica rapa (field mustard), 3188 nucleotides. RefSeq lists it as uncharacterized. NCBI's taxonomy places the organism in Eukaryota, Viridiplantae, Streptophyta, Magnoliopsida, Brassicales, Brassicaceae. The record is from RefSeq and is a predicted model, not a curated record.
AGGAUAUCUCUGUAUAAUUCAAAAAAAAAAAAAAAAAAAAAGAGAGUAACAUUUUUUUUUCCUUUUUGUCUUUGGUUCUUGAAAAAAAAAUUUGGCAAAGAGGAUUAGUUUGAUUUCAGAGAUAUCUGUUAAAUUUGAGAGGUGCGAUUGAUUUUAAUAUGGAAACGUCUUUUUCUUAUGUUUGAGACUUUGAGCUAUGACAGACACACCAUUUUAUUGAACAUGCACUUGCUUCGGAAGCGCUAAGUCAUAGCUAGUAUUAGUGGUUUUAUUCAAACUGCGUAAAAGACAGCAUUAACUACUUCUCUUUAAAUGUAUGGUCAUUUUUUUCCUUCGUUAAGGAGGUUGCCACGUACUAUUAACUGCUCGGUCUAGCUCCUAACAACUUAUUGCUUUAUUUUUAUCUGCUGCAUGAUGCAAAAUGUAUGCGUCUUAAGUUGAUUCGGUCACGCAAUGAUUGACCGGAAGAAAACAUCGUACAGGUAUUCAGUUGCUGUCUGAAUUAGGCUUCCAUCUUCAACUUUUAUGGGCCAAUAUUUGGGUUAGAUACUCAGAGAAAAGUACGGGAUAAUACUAACUGCAACAGCCAACUACAAGCCCAAGAAGAGGAACAGUUAGUGUUUGAUGAAGAUUUAUUUUUUUGUAUACAAGUCGGUCAAGGAUAUGUAAAGUCCAACAGGAUUAGGAUGAUCUAACAAAUUCUAACAAAACAUUUGUGAUUAAAACAGAAAAUUUAAGUAUUUUCAAUAUAUUUAAAAACUAUAUAAGAAAACGAAGUUAUAAAUAUCUAUGUCUUUGGACGAUGGCUACAAUUGCUGAGGCUAGCACACAUCCGACAAAUAUGCUCCGUCCCAAAUUUUACGUAAAAUUUCUUGGACGCAAAGAGUGUACGCAUACAUUUACUCGAUUCUCUACGUUUGAAAGCAUUACAACAGUGUGUUCCGUUCCCUUCGACCGGAUUUAUCUAGGGAGCGACACAUGCUUCAAUUGCUUACAUAACCAACAAAAAUGCAAUAAGUCAGGAAGAAAUUAAUAUUUAAAUCAAUUAUAUUUUGGAAAGUAAAAAAUAAUUGUCGGUGUUCGAUUUAAUAUUCAAUGUAAAUUUAGAAAGUUAAUAUUCUAUAUUUGGGAAACUAUUAUUAAUUAGUGAUUGUAAAUAAAUAGAGAAAUAUAUAAAAUUUCAGCAACUUUUACAAAAAAAUAGUAAACACAAAGAAGAAACACUAGUCUAAGCUUCUAUCGAAAAGAAAACCGAGGAAUCUCCAACUUCAUGCUUAAUCAAAUCAAGAGUCCACGGUUUUGUUUUCUAACCACUAUCCAGGGUCUCUGUAGAGUUUGAGACGGUCCUCGCAAAAUGUAUCUUGAACGUUUAACACAAAGAAUCAAAAGACUUAAAGCUACCGAUAGUAAGGCUUUGGAUGCAAUACCGGCCGUGGAACGAAACAGACGAAGCAUUUCAAAACAGUGUUACCUUUUUUGGUAAGAUGGAAAAAAACGUUUCUUUCAGUAACACGAAAGGUUAUAGUUUCAACUAUUCCUAAGUAAAAGAGUCAAUUUGCUGGAUAUUCAUAAGAGGUCCACAAAUGAAGAAUAUAGCCAUUCUACAGUGUUUACUCUUUGAUGUGACAAUUAUAAGCAAAGUUGGACCACUUUCUCCUUAGCGACGCGUCUAUUGUGUAUAUGAAAGACAAAAAAUAAAACUAUACUAUUUUUGAAGAGAAAUAGUAUACAUCGAUCUAUAUAUUGUAUACUAUUUGGAGAAAAAGGAAGAGGAGGAGAAGGACGAGGUAGGAAGAGAUCAGAGGAGGAGGAGGGAGGGAGGGAGGGAGGGAGGGAGGGAGGGGAGGAGGAGGAGGAGAAAGAAGAGAACGGGCGGAGGAAGACGAAGAAAGAAAGAGAACGUUCGAUUUCUAUUCUAUUUUUCAAAUAGAAUAACAAAAAAGUAUUAAAUUUGAGUGUGAAAAAUGAAUGUUAAGAAUCAUGAAACUUAUAAAAAAUACAAUUUGCAGAAGGAUUAAAGAGUGUUGCCAUGAAUAAUGAAGGAGAAAAACUACUACGAAAAGUGGAAGAGAGAAGAAGAUAUAUUGGGAAGAGGUAAGGAGAUUACGGGUGGCAAUGGUGGAAAAGGAGAAGAUGGUGGUGGUGAUGAAACAACUGAACGUGGCGAUGUUACAUGUGGGAUCUUUUGAGGUAACUGAUGGUGAUAGAAGAGGAGGAGGAGGAGGAGGAUAAGACGUGGAGAUGAUGUAACAAUACAUUGCAUUGUACUAUUUUAUGUUUAUCAAAUAGAAUAGUACAACACAACGCGUAUUGUUCAUCUUCUCCAAUAGUUUUACGCAUCCUCUGUUUCUUAAUCCAUAUAUAUCGAAAGUAGUAAAAUUGUAAAUCCAAACAAAGAUAUGAAGAAAAUUGAUCAGACACACUUGUUGGAUCAGAUGAUUGUACGGAAAUAAUUGGCAAAGGUGAUUGUGGUGAUAUUACGAAAGAAAAUGAAAGAUCAGAUAUGAAGUAGACAAAAUUAUAAAGAGCGAGAGAAGAAGAAAAAAGUGGUGCGUGUGAUAAAAGGGUAAAAAGGCAAUUAAUACACAAAUACACAGAAUAUCAUAGCCAAUGCAAUGUUAUGGUUAUAAACUUUAUUUCUAUUUUUCCUAUGAAUAUACGGUCUAAUUCCCCUAAGUAAAAAUUGGGUCGUAAACUAUUUUUAUUUAUUUUAAAAGUAGCACAUAUAGUGAGACAAUAUUCUAUUACUAGUAUUAUCCCCCAAUUUUAAUGUCUUCUAUACUAUCUGAAAAAUUGUAAUGACUAUCAAAAUAGAUUAUAUAUAUAUAUUUUUUUUUUUUUCUUAACCUAGAUAAACAUUCAUACAAAAACUUAGAAGUACUGAAACAAUUUCUAUGAUGUAGUUUUGAAAAAUAUAUACAACAUACAUGUUUUUGAAACAUUGUUCUAAAAAUACUAAGAUAUAUGCUAACACAUAAAAGUAAAUAUUAUAAUACUGCUUUAAAAUAUAAACUUAUUCAUGUUAACAUACAAAAUUAAACAAUUAAAUCAUUGACCAGAAAAAUAAAGAAAUAAUAAACUAUGGUGAAUUAGAAUUUAACUGAAAAUGUUUGUAUAUAAUAAAUCUAACAAAUAGAUAAAAGCUCGACAGUAAAAUCAAAUAGAACAUUUAAACAGAUUUUAGAUAU